UCUUUAUUGUGGACGGUGGGACAGUCAGAGUGGAAGAGCAAAAUAUCCUUCCAUUGUCAUGGUCUGACCAUCAUCUGAUCUGUUUAAGUUUCGCCGUGUCUUCUAACCUCCGCAGGGGUGGUGGACCCACUAAGAUGGUCCGCCCCAGGAGGCUGAUGGAUCCGGAUGGACUUCUGAGGUCUCUUGGGGAUCUUCCUGUUCUGGAGACUGGCGAACCUGUCGAUGUCCUGGCUGAUCGCUAUAAUAGUGAGCUGGCUAGGGCACUUGACACGAUCGCUCCCGAACGUCCCCUCUCGCUUCGUAGAGUCACGUCGACUCCUUGGUUCACUGAGGAGCUGGCUGUGAUGAAGCGUGCGAGGAGGGGACUAGAGUGCAUCUGGAGGAAAUCUCAGGAUGUGUCUGACCAAGCACGGGCUAAAGCCGCUAUUAAGGCUUACUCCGUGGCUCUGCGAGCAGCCAGGAAAGCUUUCACGACUGCCCGCAUAGCGUCUGCAGCCAACAGGCCAUCGGAGUUGUUCCGAGUUGUUGGGGAGCUCCUGCGGCCUCCCGAGACCCAGGGGCUUCCUGAUGACUUGGCAACUCGGUGCAGCGAUUUCGCGCACCAUUUUGCAGGCAAAGUUGCUCAGAUACGCCGUGAGUUGGACUCCAGCUUAACUGUAGUUCCAGCGGAGGUAACCGAGGUACCUGUCUGUCCGAUCUUGUGGGAUUCUUUCCGGCUUGUUCUUCCUGAUAACGUGGAGGGGAUUCUUGGGUCUGUGAGGGCGACCACUUGCGCUCUGGAUCCUUGUCCUUCUUGGCUGGUUAAGCUGGCCAAAGAUGGGUUGUUGGAUUGGUUUGUGGCUAUUAUAAAUGCCUCCUUGGGUCAGGGGUCAGUUCCAUCCUGCUUUAAGCAGGCAGUAGUAAAACCAUUACUAAAAAAGACCUCUUUAGACCCAUCUGUAUGUAACAACUACAGACCAAUUUCCAACCUCCCAUUUUUGGGCAAGGUUCUGGAGCGGGUGGUUGCCACACAGCUCCAGGAGUUCCUCGAUGACACUGAUUUUCUGGACCGCUCGCAGUCUGGCUUCAGGCCUGGGCACAGUACCGAGACGGCUUUGGUCGCCUUGGUGGAUGACCUCCGCAGGGAACUGGACAGGGGGAGUGUGACCCUGCUGGUUCUCUUGGACAUCUCAGCGGCUUUCGAUACCAUCGACCAUGGUAUCCUUCUGGGGAGGCUCUCUGGGAUGGGGCUCGGUGGCACGGUUCUGCUGUGGCUCCAGUCCUUCCUGGAGGGCCGUUCCCAGAUGGUGAAGCUGGGGGACACCUGCUCGGACCCCUGGCCAUUGACCUGUGGGGUCCCGCAAGGGUCUAUUCUAUCCCCCAUGCUAUUUAACAUCUACAUGAAACCGCUGGGAGAGGUCAUCCGGAGUUUUGGAGGGUGUUGCCAUCUCUACGCAGAUGACACGCAAAUCCACUACUCAUUCCCAUCUGACUCCAAGGAAGCCCCUCGGAUGCUGAACCAGUGCCUGGCCGCUGUGGCGGACUGGAUGAGGAGGAACAAGCUGAGGAUCAAUCCUGACAAGAUAGAGGCCCUCCUGGUCAGUCGCGCGUCGGAUCGGGGUAUUGGGUGGCAACCUGUGCUGGACGGGGUCGUACUCCCCCUGAAAUCACAGGUCCGCAGUUUGGGGGUCCUCCUGGACUCAGCGCUGACGCUUGAGGCGCAGGUGUCGGCGGUGGCCGGGAGGGCCUUCGCACAACUCAAACUUGUGCGCCAACUGCGACCAUACCUCGUGAAGUCUGACUUGACCACGGUGGUGCAUGCCUUGGUUACCUCUAGACUGGACUACUGUAAUGCACUCUACGUGGGGCUUCCCUUGAAGACGGCCCGGAAACUACAAUUGGUCCAGCGCUCGGCUGCCAGGUUAAUUACGGGGGCGAGUUACAGGGAGAGAUCUACUCCCCUGUUCAAGGAGCUCCACUGGCUGCCUUUUAUUUUCCGGUCCCAAUUCAAGGUGUAUACCAUCACAUAUAAAGCCCUAAACGGUUUGGGACCCACCUACCUUCGUGACCGUAUCUCCUACCACAAGCCUACACGAUCCCUUCGCUCAUCAGGGGAAGCUCUCCUGUCCCCACUCCCGAUAUCCCAGACCCGCCUUGUGGGAACAAGGGAGAGGGCCUUUUCUGCUGUGGCCCCCCGAUUGUGGAAUUCUCUGCCCGCGGAGAUUAGGCAAGCCCCCACACUAGCAGCCUUCAAGAAAGACUUGAAAACAUGGCUCUUUCGCUGCGCUUUUGGAGAGUAACCAUUUUAUAUUUCUUUUCCGUUGCUCCCCCUAAUAUCUAACCUCCAGAAUACCCCACUCCCUUAUGACCCUGUUCGCUGUGGUUUUUAUUUUUAUGUCUUUCUCACCCCGAGUUUUAACUUAAUGUUCAUGUGGUCUGCCCUUGUUUUUAUUGUCUCCUUGUUUUAUUUUGUAAUGGAUAUUAUUUAUUGUAUUGUUUCCUGUAUUGUGGUGUGCUGUUCUUUUAUAUGCUGUUUACAUUGUAUUGUUUUGGGCGUGGCCCCAUGUAAGCCGCCCCGAGUCCCCAUUGGGGAGAUGGUGGCGGGGUAUAAAUAAAGUUUUAUUAUUAUUAUUAUUAUUAUUAUUAUUAUUAUUAUUAUUAUUAUAUAUUCCAGUUCAAAACAUAUAAUGUGGGAUUUUAUUCAGCUGUGUGGAAGGGGCUCCAAUUCAAAGCAGAUAUUGUGGAUUAUCUGCCUUGAUAGUCUGGGUUAUAUGGCUAUGUGGAAAGGCCCAAAGUCAAUUUCCAAAAAUAAAUGGGAAACAUGAAAUGCUUGUCAAUCUUUUCAAGAUAAAAUAGUCACAUGCUCAUUCUUCCAGUAGAUGAUAGGGAGAGAGAAAAAUAUCCCUCCCCUGAAAUUUUGGAGCAAAAUCUGCCUCCAAUUUUAAUUUUUGGAAAGACAUUGUGCUCUCUGUAUCCAUUGGGAUUUGGUGCCAGGAUCCUAGUACAUAUUUAUUUAUUUAUUAGCGACAUUUAUAUCCCGCCCAUCUCAUCCCGAAGGGGACUCAGGGCGGUUUACAAGUUAUUGGUAGUACAUACAAUACAUUACAUUACUGGUACAGCACAACAUAAGCAUCAUACACCACCACACUGCACUACACCACCACGCUGCAACACCACUAGCAAUACCACAUGCAACACACAAUACACAAUUAUAAUAGUGUAUUACUAUCACUAUCACACUGUAACAAAUUACAAUGUCACCAUCAAUACCACAUGUACAUACAAUAUAUCACAUCACUAGCACAACACAAUAUCAACAAUAUACAAUAUUAUAUAGUCAUAAUGACACAGGAGACAUGGUGGAAUAAUGUCUUCCUGGCCCCCCGGUUCUUCACUCACAUACCACAAUCCAUGAAUGCUCAAGUCCCAUUAUAUACAAUUGCAUAGCAAAAGGAUGUCCGUUGUUAAAAUGGCAAAACCAAGAUUUGCCUUUUGGAAUUUUUUGAAAACUAGUUUCUCUCUAGGUAAUAAUAAUAAUAAUAAUAAUAAUAAUAAUAAUAAUAAUAAUAAUAAUAAUAAUAAUUUUUACCCGCCUCUCCUUGUGGCUUGAGGCCACAUCACCAUAAAACAUUACAUAAAAUGCACAUAUUAAAAUGUAUUUCUAUGAAGUACAAAUAUUAAAAUACACAGAAUAAAGGAUUCAAAUACAGCAAACACAAGACAUGAGUUUAAAAUUCAUAAUAAUAUCAAGUUUAAUUUGCCCAUAUGAAAAAAAUCAGCACAAAAAGGCGACUUUUCUAUAUUCUGUUUGUCGGUCUUUCACUUCCAACAUCUACAUCCACCUCUUUUAUGUCAUUAAGAGAUUAGUGAAAUACUUCAAUUAGUCUAAUAUAUAACCAAAACAGCUGCAAGGAAAACUGUUGAUAUUCAAUGCAUACAUUUCACAUUUUAUUUUGUAUCAUUUUCUUUUUCUUUUUACUUCCUUUCUACUUGCAUAUUUGCACUCUACAUUUUAGCCACAGCUUAAAAAUGCUUUUCACGGUGACUGCCUGAAACUGCAAACCAUAGACAACUGCUGAUAUUCUACAAGAAAAGUUACGUUCUUGCUUUCCACUGGAAGUCACUCUUCACUGCAAUCCAUGGAUUUAUCCAGAUUUAAGUAUGAGGCAAUAUGGCAGAUGGCAUCCUUGCUUUUAUUAAUUUUUUUUGGCAUCUAAAAUUAAUUCUUUUUGGCAUCUAACAGAAUCUGCAAGCACUUCUUCCUAGGAAUAAAAAUAAUAUCAUAAUAAAUUAAAUAACAAUUUGCUGCCCUUUCAUGUUACCCAGAAUCAGUUGCCAAGGCACACUUCUUGAGUAUAAUCAACUGUAUGCGUAAUGGUGAGGCCAACUCUGAUUUCUUUCCAUAUGUAUAUAAUUUUUAAAAGCAGUACAUUGCAAUUACCCUUCUUCUAACCUUCCCUGUUUCUUUUUCCGACAUAGUUCAAUGCAUAGUCACCUUGUACAUAGUGAAAUCAAUCACAUUUCAUACUCUAUUAUUCCACAGCUUUAAAUGAGAAGAUGUUGGAUCUUAUGUAGAAAGAUGAUAGCAGAUAAAUAAGAGUCCCUAAUUACUGGGAACCAUGAUGCCAGGAGAAGGAGCACCUAAUAACUUCAGUUAAAUAUCAGGCUAUUUCGAAGAUGAAACGGGCUCUCUUGGCCAGGAUGCAUUAGACUGUUUAGAUCCCAUGGGACAAAAAAGCACCCUCAAGUAUUUAAGAAACUAACAAAAACAAAAGUUCAAUACAGACAACCCUCCAUAUUCAUGGAUUCUGCACCCACAGAUUCAAUUACACAAAGCUUGAAAAUACCCCCCCCCCCCAAUCCAAAAAGCUCACCUUGAUUUUGGCAUUUUAUAUAAGGACAGCAUUUUGUUGUGCCAUUGUAUAAAAUGGAGUUUGACUAUCCACAGAUUUUGGUAUCUAAAGGAGUUCCUGGAACCAAAUUCCACCAGAUACCAAGGUCCCACUUCUACAAUUGUGCACAAUGGAAUCUCAAUCGAAAUCCAAUAUAGUAGUUAUGAAUGUUAUGUAUUCAUGUUUCCCUCCAUAGCCCCUAGUUCAGUGAGCCAUGUAAGGGCCAUGAAAGUCCCUCAAUUCCUCAGUUCUGGGCAGCAGCCACAGCAAUCAACAGAGGCCUGUUUCCUUGUCAAUUUGGACGCAGUCGGCCAACAUCUCCAUUCCCUCUUAUUCAAGCGACCUCCAGCAUGAAGGAGAAUUAUGACUGGGGUCCUGCUUCUAACUGUUGCACCAGAGAUUGUUCAUGGAAAUGGGUGGUAACAUCAGUCAACUGCUUCCUGAGUGAUAGGGGAGCAAAACCCCAUCGAUCGCAGCAGCUGCUUUCUAUAAGUGGGAAUCGGGAGCACUGGAUCGGGAUUUGUAGCAAACAAACAAAUAAAAUACAGCAAUAAAAUAAUAAAAAUGUCCCUGUGGUGUCCCAAAUAAAAUUUUUCAAAUAGGUGUUGUGAUCCAUACAUUGUUCACUAGUCCAUAUUUUCAGCUUUUAAUUUCAGUCUGCGCUCCCUCUCUAUAGUCCCCCUCGGGGUAACGUGAAGCUAGCAUGAAAAACAGAAAGCUUUAAAAUUUUAAAAAAUCCCUUUCCCCAAACUAUAGACAACUGCAUAAGGACCUUAGACAAGAGGCUAAGGAACACUCUAUUGUUUUAACUGAGCUGUUUUAAAUAGCUCCUUCUCUUUUAAAAUUGCAUUUUAUUUUUUAUUCAUAACUUAUUUGUAAAUUGUAACUAUUUUGUUUCUGUUCUGUAUGAUUUCAAUGAGAGCCAGCUUGAUGUAGUGAUCUGAGUUUUGGACUAAGAUGCUGGAUGACCACAACUCGAAUUUCUGCUUGGCCAUGGAAGCUCUCUAGGUGCCUUUUGAUUGCAGGAUGUCAUCAGAUGCAUGAAAUCAUUAAAAGAAGAGGAGGAGAAGGAGGAAGAGUAGCAGAAGCUGUCGAGGAGGAGGAGCAGGAGGAGGAAAAAGGAGGAAGAAGGGAAGGAGGAAGAAGAAGGAGGAGGAAGAGGAGGUGAAACAGCAACAAUCGAGGAGGAGGAAGAAGAAGGUGGAGGAACAGCAGCAGCAGCCAAGGAAGAGGAGGAGGAAAAGGAGAUAACAGUGCCCACCCCAAUGGAGGUAAAGGUAAAGGAAAAGGUUUUCCCCUGACAUUGUCUAGUCGUGUCCGACUCUGGGGGUUGGGCCUCAUCUCCAUUAUAAGCCGAAGAGCAGCAUUGUCUGUAGACACCUCCAAGGUCAUGUGGCUGGUAUGACUGCAUGGAGCACAGUUGCCUUCCUGCUGGGGCAGAACCUAUUGAUCUACUCACAAUUUACAUGUUUUUGAACUGCUAGGUUGGCAGAAGCUGGGGUUAACAGCUAACAGCAGAUUCAAGCUUCCUCAUCCUCUCCUUCUCUAAGUCUCUUCCUCCUCCUCCUUCUCUUCCUAUUACUCCUCUUCUACCCCAUGCAUCUGUUGACAUGUCACAUUUCCUCCUGCGAGUCUAACAACUGCUGGACUUGAAGGAGUUGAGGGGAUUCUGGCUUAGGCUUUGGCUCCCACUCAAAGGCUCAGCCUGUCACUAGUUUGCCUCUGGGUGCAUCUAUACUGUAGAAUUAAGGCAGUUUGACACCACCUGAGCUUCCAUGGCUCAAUGCUAUGGAAUCCUGGAAGUUGCAGUUUGGAGAGGCAACUGCAUUCCUUGGCAAUGAAGCAGCAGAUUUUAUAAAACUGCAGCCCCUAAGAUUCAAUAGCAUUAAACUAUGGUAGUUCCACUAGUAUCAAAUUGUAUUAAUUCCACAGUGUUGAGGAACUACAAAUCUGUCUGCCUAAUCUUAGAAAGGAUACGAUUGGAUUGAAGUUUCUAUCAUUCCUGGCCUAGAAGCUGUCAGAGGUCUCCCCAACCCCAGAAUGUGGGACAUAAGAGAAAAAGUAAAUUACUUUGCCCUGUCCAAACUAUGCUAUGUUCUGCACACUAGUUGGGAUAAACAUUGCAGGGUGAUUAUUUCUUCUUCUUCUUCUUCUUCUUCUUCUUCUUCUUCUUCUUCUUCUUCUUCUUCUUCUUCUUCUUCUUCUUCUUCUUCUUCUUCUCCGUACAGCCCUGCCACAUGCACAAUGGAGGACCUCCUUCCAAUGACACUAAAGGCACUCCAAAUGGACAGCUUCUGGUCAAAAGGAAUUUAGCACAAUGCUAAAUUUUUAACUUUGUGGUUUUUCUAUACAUUAUAACCAUAUUCUCAAUUUGCUGCAGACACGAUAAAUAAAUAAAUAAAUAAAUAACUUGAGCAUCCCUGGUCCGGAAUGUUGAAAAUCCUCCAAAAUUGCCCACCUUUGCUUUCUAAUGGUUCAGCAUCCCCAAACUAUGUUUUCAUGCAAAAAUAUUAAAAUAUUUCUAUAUAAUUACCUCCAGGUAAUGAAAGAUAAAUUCCAUGUUAUAAUAUUUUAUCAUCUAUAUAAGAUGCAAAAUCCCAAACAUUUCUGCUCCCAGCCAUUUCAGACAAAGAAUACUUAUUAUUAUUACUUAGUUAUAUACUGAGUUAUAUACUUAGUUAUAUCCUCUUCCUUGGCUGCUGUUGCUGUUCCUCAAUGUACAUAGAGCUGGGAAAGACCACAAGGGCAAUCCAAUCCAACCCCCUACUGUGUAGAAGGAAUAUGCAAUCAAAGCACCCUCAACAGAUGGCCAUCCAGACUCUUCUUUAAAAAUAUCCAGAGGAGACUCCUAGUUUCCAGAGUAGCAGAAAACAAGCUUGGUCCCUGUCAAUGUGACAUCCUUUCAAUGGCUAUCAUCUAUCCUCUCAGCUUUCUUUUCUCUAUGGCACUUUACAAUUAAAACAACCAAAGCAGUGGGCAAAAUCUAAAGAUAAAUGUGUACACACAUACACAGGGGGAAGGAAGGAAUAACAAAAUAUGGAAUGCUGAAAUACAAUUGAGAUAAACUUCAGAAUACAAUAUAACAUAAAGCAAGCUGACCAAUAUAUAUAAUCAAAAAUAGGCAAGAUUCUAAAACAAUGUUAAACUAAAAUUCUAAAAAUAAAUCCUUUUGUAGUCUGUAAAAUAGAAUCUAAUAGCAAUUUUAUUCUGCAUUCAUCCAUUUGCAUGAUGUUAGUAAUGCUAAUGGUGCUGAAAUGUGCACUUUCCCAAGGCAAAAUAAUAGGCUGAAUGUAUGUGUUCUGCAUCCUUAAGAGAAAAGCUCAAAGUCCCAACAUGAGCAGGCAAUGCACACAAUCUGACAUAAAGAUUUUCAUUUUUGUGAUAGAAUGUGGUUGUUGCAUCAAGAGCAGACAAUUAAAAUACUUUAUUAGACAUCAUUGAUCCUUGUCUAUUCUACAAAUUUCAUUUAGACUACAAUUGUCUGGUGCUGAAAUGAUUUCUGGACUCUCCGUCUGCAUGCCAUUUUCUCUCCAUGAUGUGUUGUGUUGCCUUGGCUGAGCUUCCUGAAUAAUUUCUGUGUGGUUCUUCUCGACCUGUUCCCCUUUUGUAAUGUGUUCUGUGCUCGUGUUUUGAGCUUCUGUGAAGAAACCUUGGGUUAUGUGCGUAUGGUGGGUAUUGUGUUCAGUCAUGUAGCCCUUAUGUAUGUGUUGCCAUGGAGUGAGCAGGCUGCAAUCUUUCCUCCCUUGGUGUUUUGAAUUGCUUUGCAAGGUGGCUUUCUGAUGAGACCUGUGUCAGAGAUUUGAGUUAGCAGUCAUGUUGACAUAGUGGCUAAGAGUGUAGGAUGUGUAUGCCAGUAGAGCCUGAAUAAUAUAUGUGAAGUGCUUUGGCUUCUUGCAAACACAUUAGAAAGGCUAUUUUUUUCCUCGUUCUGUGAGCAAAGUCCUUGGAACAAGGAUAAGAUGUGACGAACGUCACAUCUCUCCAUCCAGCUUCAUCACAUCCCCUGCUCAAACCUAAUUUUGAGCUUGCAUGGCACAGUUGUGCUGUUUCUACCCUUUCUCCUUGCUGACAUGAAUGAUGGUUACCAUGACUAAACUGUUAAGGGCACUGCAUUGAGACAGAAGCACACCUGCAAGCCUGUGCGGUAUGUUCCUCCUUUGAAUGAGAGGCCUAUGUGCUGUAAGUGCCUUUGUGAAGCUGCUUGUACAAGAGACAGCCGUAUUUUUACAAGAUGAUCUCGGCCAGCUAGAUCCUGCUCUUACCUUUUGUGUCAUCUGUAGUACUUUGCCAGCUGCUUGACGUGAAACUUACUCCAGCGUUUGCAAACCCUGAGGACAAUAUUAAGUUGGGCAUGAAAACUGCUGAAUGGGUAGCACAUCCUGUGUAAUCAAUGCCAACGAAGAGGACACAAAAUGUCAUCAAGGAGAGUCACUGCAUGAAAACAACAUUGCUUGACAAAACAGUCAGGAAGUUCACAUUUUUGAAGCCAGAAAUGCUACUGAGCAUGAAAAUUCUGCAGCCAAAUAUAUACAAGUCUACAAUCACACAGAUGGGUGAUUAACACAUGCAUUGAUACAUUUUUACUUAAUCCAACUUUAUCUGCAGUGUCCUCUCCUAAGCAUUUGUUACAUCGUUGUUGCUUAAAAGGGGGCUCCUGAUUUGUUGGAGUUCAUAACUGGAGAGAAUUCUAUUGUUAGUUACUCACCAAUUCAAUCUUACACCA
This is an RNA transcript of Anolis carolinensis (green anole), 9594 nucleotides long. It is a transcript of the gene named muscleblind like splicing regulator 2, with no coding region annotated. The record is from RefSeq and is a predicted model, not a curated record. The transcript has 3 exons. Lineage: Eukaryota; Metazoa; Chordata; Lepidosauria; Squamata; Anolidae.